This 575-nucleotide long non-coding RNA is filed under the name Gossypium barbadense (sea-island cotton). RNAcentral describes it as "long non-coding RNA (GBAR_LNC003454)". The record is from RNAcentral. Lineage: Eukaryota; Viridiplantae; Streptophyta; Magnoliopsida; Malvales; Malvaceae.
AAACCUAUUUCUUCUCUUCUCUCAUUUCUUCAUCUUUUUCUCUUUGUUAGUUAAUGUUAAGAUGAUGAAAGCAAAAGAAAAAGUGAGUAAUGAGGCUGCUACCAAACCUUCAAUUGUCUCUAUUACUCAAUCUCCAACAUUGUCAAGCCUACCAUCAAGAAAUAUGUUUAAAUUUAGUCCAUGUACUUAAAAAAUUAAAGAAUUAAGUCUUCCUACUUUUGUAUUUGGGACAAGGAUUUCAUCAAGAAAGUCCAGGUUCUACCCAGAAAGGAAAUGGGAUUUUUUAGAUUUUCCCCCUGUUAGUUCAGUCGGAGGUCACAAGCCUCGACCCGUCAUCGCUGAUGAGGUCUCCUCGACGUCUAGUCAACUCGCAGGUCAGAAUCUCCAUCUUCAUGACUCAAGCUCAAUCCACUUGUCUCCAAUGUCGCCUUAUUGAGCACCCAUCACUUUGCCUUCCCUUUCCCAUCUUAUCUUCUACGUUUCAGUGGCCUAGACCUUGAGGUGCAUCAAUGGGUUCAAGUACCAGAGAUGGUGCCACAAGUUGACUCUUGGCCUGCCUAUUGAUAAGGUUAGAG